This 221-nucleotide ribosomal RNA is filed under the name uncultured bacterium. RNAcentral's name for it is "partial 16S ribosomal RNA". It matches the Rfam family "Bacterial small subunit ribosomal RNA", at positions 15 to 240 of the family's 1533-position model. The record is from RNAcentral.
GAUCAUGGCUCAGGAUGAACGCUGGCGGCGUGCCUAAUACAUGCAAGUCGAACGCUUCACAUUUGUGAAGAGUGGCGAACGGGUGAGUAAUACAUAAGUAACCUGGCAUCUACAGGGGGAUAACUGAUGGAAACGUCAGCUAAGACCGCAUAGGUGUAGAGAUCGCAUGAACUCUAUAUGAAAAGUGCUACGGGACUGGUAGAUGAUGGACUUAUGGCGCA